Molecule: long non-coding RNA, 272 nt
Filed under: Mytilus galloprovincialis (Mediterranean mussel)
Lineage: Eukaryota; Metazoa; Mollusca; Bivalvia; Mytilida; Mytilidae
Source: RNAcentral
AUUUUCUCAUUUGAAAUUUCAUAAAUAAAAAGAAAAUUUCUUCAAACAUUUUUUUGAGAGGAAUAAUAUUCAACAGCAUAGUGAAUUGCUCUAAGAGAAAACAAAAAUUUUAAUUUCAUUAGAACACAUUCAUUCUGUGUCAGAAACCUAUGCUGUGUCAACUAUUUAAUCACAAUCCAAAUUUAGAGCUGAAUCCAGCUUGAAUGUUAUGUUCAUACUUGCCCCAACCGUUCAGGGUUCAACAUCUGCGGUCGUAUAAAGCUACGCCCUGC